This 492-nucleotide ribosomal RNA is filed under the name uncultured bacterium. RNAcentral's name for it is "partial 16S ribosomal RNA". It matches the Rfam family "Bacterial small subunit ribosomal RNA", at positions 29 to 507 of the family's 1533-position model. The record is from RNAcentral.
AAUGAACGCUGGCGGCAGGCCUAACACAUGCAAGUCGAGCGGAAGCACAGGAAGAUCUUGUUCUUGCGGUUGGCGACGGGCGGGUGGGUGAUAGAUACAUCGCAAUCCUCUUUGUCUGGGGUGAUUACGGGGGGAAGGUUACGAUAACAGCUGAUAUGAGCAACGGCUUGAAUCAAGAGUUCUUGGCAGUUUUCCUGUCACAUAUAGCUGAUGUCGGAUUAGCUAGUUUGCUGGGUAAAGGCCCACCAAGGCGACGAUCCGUAGCUGGUCUGAGAGGAUGAUCAGCCACACUGGAACUGAGACACGGUCCAGACUCCUACGGGAGGCAGCAGUGGGGAAUAUUGGACAAUGGGCGCAAGCCUGAUCCAGCCAUACCGCGUGGGUGAAGAAGGCCUUCGGGUUGUAAAGCCCUUUUGUUGGGAAAGAAAAGCAGCAGGUUAAUACCCCGCUGUUCUGACGGUACCCAAAGAAUAAGCACCGGCUAACUUCGUG